UGCAAGUCGAGCGGCAGCGCGGGGGCAACCCUGGCGGCGAGCGGCGAACGGGUGAGUAAUAUAUCGGAACGUGUCCUAGAGUGGGGGAUAGCCCGGCGAAAGCCGGAUUAAUACCGCAUACGCUCGAGAGAGGAAAGUGGGGGACCGCAAGGCCUCACGCCCAAGGAGCGGCCGAUAUCGGAUUAGCUAGUUGGCGGGGUAAAAGCCCACCAAGGCGACGAUCCGUAGCUGGUCUGAGAGGAUGAUCAGCCACACUGGAACUGAGACACGGUCCAGACUCCUACGGGAGGCAGCAGUGGGGAAUUUUGGACAAUGGGGGCAACCCUGAUCCAGCCAUUCCGCGUGAGUGAAGAAGGCCUUCGGGUUGUAAAGCUCUUUCGGCAGGAACGAAACGGUCCGUGCUAAUACCCCGGACUACUGACGGUACCUGCAGAAGAAGCACCGGCUAACUACGUGCCAGCAGCCGCGGUAAUACGUAGGGUGCGAGCGUUAAUCGGAUUUACUGGGCGUAAAGCGUGCGCAGGCGGCGGCUCAAGUCAGGUGUGAAAUCCCCGGGCUUAACCUGGGAAUUGCGUCUGAAACUAGGUCGCUGGAGUGCGGCAGAGGGGGGUGGAAUUCCACGUGUAGCAGUGAAAUGCGUAGAGAUGUGGAGGAACACCGAUGGCGAAGGCAGCC
RNAcentral lists this ribosomal RNA (675 nucleotides) under uncultured bacterium. Its description in RNAcentral is "bacterial SSU rRNA". It matches the Rfam family "Bacterial small subunit ribosomal RNA", at positions 56 to 726 of the family's 1533-position model. The record is from RNAcentral.